UUAAACAUGCUGAUGAACUGAGCUGGGUUUUUCCCCACCUCCAUUCCAGAAAAAUAAGGACACUCAGAAGAUAAAAUUUGUUUUGUUAUUGCAAGUAAUGCUAUGUGUGAACAUUUCUGUUUGACAUCAUGUAAUUCCUCAUCGCCAGUGCUUGAAAUAAGCAAGCAUUAAGGAUUGAUAUAUUAUGUGGCUCGCUGCUGCUCCUCACAGCCCAAGGGAAUGGGACACUCUGAGAGCUGAAUGGAUUUAGAAAAUUACUAAAAAUGACUAAGCCUCUCUCCCAGAUUUGUACAAACAGUCCCUUUUUAACACUGAACUCCUUAACCAAAUCUGCCAAUUCACAUUUCUUCCUGUAUUUAUUUUUCAUUAAAAUUGGUUUGGCUUUUGC
Long non-coding RNA from Lonchura striata (white-rumped munia), 388 nucleotides. RefSeq lists it as uncharacterized. The record is from RefSeq and is a predicted model, not a curated record. Lineage: Eukaryota; Metazoa; Chordata; Aves; Passeriformes; Estrildidae.